Molecule: transfer RNA, 87 nt
Filed under: Kiritimatiellaceae bacterium
Lineage: Bacteria; Pseudomonadati; Kiritimatiellota; Kiritimatiellia; Kiritimatiellales; Kiritimatiellaceae
Also listed under: 2 other names
Description: tRNA-Leu
Rfam family: tRNA
About the family: Transfer RNA (tRNA) molecules are approximately 80 nucleotides in length. Their secondary structure includes four short double-helical elements and three loops (D, anti-codon, and T loops). Further hydrogen bonds mediate the characteristic L-shaped molecular structure. tRNAs have two regions of fundamental functional importance: the anti-codon, which is responsible for specific mRNA codon recognition, and the 3' end, to which the tRNAs corresponding amino acid is attached (by aminoacyl-tRNA synthetases). tRNAs cope with the degeneracy of the genetic code in two manners: having more than one tRNA (with a specific anti-codon) for a particular amino acid; and 'wobble' base-pairing, i.e. permitting non-standard base-pairing at the 3rd anti-codon position.
Source: RNAcentral
GCCCGGGUGGCGAAAUCGGUAGACGCAAGGGACUUAAAAUCCCUUGAUCGAAAGAUCGUGCGGGUUCGAGUCCCGCCCCGGGCACCA